CCUCCUCUGCUGUAUAGUCACUCACGAUGCCCAACGUUGCGCGAAUCUCCGCGUGGUCUUUGCAUGCCGCGAUCACGUCAGCGACUCCCUGGCAAGUGAGAUCAAGAAGUCCUUUGAUGUUUAGGUAGUUCGCAGCCGUGAUGAGGUCAUAGACCGUGGACAGAUCCAUUUGCUUGAUGAACUUAUCGUCCCACUUCUUGAGAGCAUCAGCGGAGGCGGCGGAAGAAGAAUUGGCACCACCGUCGACGACGACUACGACGUGGUUCUUGCAGUACUCGACCACCUUCGAGAGGACUUCGCCUGUGACCUCGUCAAUCUUGCAUUCACGAGCGCCGCUGCAAUCUUCAAAAAGAUUCGACAAGAGCUGCGACUGAAGUACCACCGCUUCGUCCACUUCAAAGGAUUCAUCGUCGGAGCUCUUCAACACGAACAUCUCCAUCGUCCUUCUUUGCUGCGUGGCGAUUUUCUCGUAAGAAGAUUUGAACGAAGAAUGAAACAAGUAAGCGAGCGAGUGGAUAGAAAAGGUGGUGAAUGAAGUUAUUAUGGGCUCAUGCACUCUAUUUAUAGGCGUUUAGUAGGAAGCACACAUCAGGUAUCUAUUGAGAGUCAACUAUUUAACUGAGAAAGCUAACAGAAAUUCAUGAAAUAUACACAUUAGCACCAACGGAGUUACUAUUUCGAUCCUAAUGAAUUGGUACCAUUAUCAUCACAUCAUCAUAAUGAUAGAUAUAUAUCUUUUCCAUCAUAAUCAUAUCAACGUUUGAAUUAUAAAAUACGAAAGUAGAUAUCUUUUAUUGGACUUUUUUUUUAGUUUGGGUUCCCAAAUUUAAAGUAAGGAAAAAUACUCAACUAAUAUUUUACUAAUUACUUUUGAGAUAUUUCAUUACACCUUCCCAAUGGAGAUGAUCAAGAUGCAUAAAUUUGGUAGUUUAUAAAACUCCAAAAAACAAAAAGUCCAAACAAAGAAAAACUCCAAACCAUGGAAAGACAACUAAAUCCAAUCAGAAAAAAAAAAACUAGAUAUCAAGCGAAACUUCUAGAACCUUAGAAUAUAUCGAAAAAAGCAGUAGAUGUCGGUCGCUAGCUCUCACAACAUUAACGAAACAAUCCAACCUCUGGACAAAUGCUUGCUGGUAUUGUUUUACAUAUAUAUAUAUAUAUAUAUAUAUAUAUUCAACUAAGAGAUUGAAAAAUAAAGACUUAGCAGAAGCACUUGUUGUAGCUUCUAAGGUUAGCCGAAGCACUUGUUGUAGCUUCUAAGGUUAUGGAAAGCAUUACACAAAAAUGUUUGGAAACUAUAUGUCAAAGGUUAAUCAGUUACAAGAGAUGGAGCAUUUGGUAUCAGAAUUAGCAAGAGUGAGUGAGUAGAAGAGAAGGAUCAUUAACACAAGAUUUCUUGGACUCGAAAAGGCUCCUAGUUUAUAAAACCUUCUUCUACAUAUGUACACAUUAUAAUCACCAUACUUCAAUUUUUAGAGUUUUGAAAUGCCUUUCUCUUUUCUUUUAUGUUGUGCAAUGUUUCCUCUAAAGAGUUAACUUAUCCAACACCAAAAGAAGAGUCACGUCAUGUUAGUGAAAACAACUCUGGUUCUCUUGAUAGAGAUUUAGCUAUACAAGUUUUGAGCUUGUGCAUAGGAAAGCCAAUGAACAAAAGGACUUUAAAUCGAUAGAGAGCAAAGAUCAUUGACAGAAGAUUUCUUAAAACGCAAGUUUCACAUGUACAAAACUUCUUCUAGAUAUAUGAAGUUUAUCAUCAUCCUCUGUUUUCUUGAUCUUGUUUAAGAUUAAUCAAGAAUUGCCUUUUCUUGUUCUGAAAGCCAAAGACGAGUCAUGUUUAGUGAACACAACUCUCUUGUUCUCAUGGUUAUCGAUGUAAAGACUCUACUAUAGUCUGAGACUUUGAAACCCAAUUCAGAAAGCAUAAACUCAUACGAUCAACAACAUCUUGCUUUAUAAGACUUCUGUUCAUCUAAUAUACGAUCAAGAACACUGUUCAUAUUCACAAAAUCGAAACAAGAAAGCCAUGUUCAACUAUUAUCGAUUUAAAGAUCCGUAAACACAAAGAUUCGAAAAGAAAGAGUAGCUAGGGUUUAGAUUAACCCGCUCACUCAUUCAUCAAUCAAAAGCCCACUCGUUCUCCUUGAGAACCUCUGCUUCCUCCUCUGCUGUAUAGUCACUCACGAUGCCCAACGUUGCGCGAAUCUCCGCGUGGUCUUUGCAUGCCGCGAUCACGUCAGCGACUCCCUGGCAAGUGAGAUCAAGAAGUCCUUUGAUGUUUAGGUAGUUCGCAGCCGUGAUGAGGUCAUAGACCGUGGACAGAUCCAUUUGCUUGAUGAACUUAUCGUCCCACUUCUUGAGAGCAUCAGCGGAGGCGGCGGAAGAAGAAUUGGCACCACCGUCGACGACGGCGACGUGGUUCUUGCAG
This 2425-nucleotide long non-coding RNA is filed under the name Brassica napus (rape). RNAcentral describes it as "long non-coding RNA (BNAP_LNC022024)". The record is from RNAcentral. Lineage: Eukaryota; Viridiplantae; Streptophyta; Magnoliopsida; Brassicales; Brassicaceae.